RNAcentral lists this ribosomal RNA (773 nucleotides) under uncultured bacterium. RNAcentral's name for it is "bacterial SSU rRNA". It matches the Rfam family "Bacterial small subunit ribosomal RNA", at positions 8 to 798 of the family's 1533-position model. The record is from RNAcentral.
AGAGUUUGAUCCUGGCUCAGGACGAACGCUGGCGGCGUGCUUAACACAUGCAAGUCGAACGGAAAGGCCCUUCGGGGUACUCGAGUGGCGAACGGGUGAGUAACACGUGGGUGAUCUGCCCUGCACUUUGGGAUAAGCCUGGGAAACUGGGUCUAAUACCGAACAUGACCACGCUCUUCAUGGGGUGUGGUGGAAAGCUUUUGCGGUGUGGGAUGGGCCCGCGGCCUAUCAGCUUGUUGGUGGGGUAAUGGCCUACCAAGGCGACGACGGGUAGCCGGCCUGAGAGGGCGACCGGCCACACUGGGACUGAGAUACGGCCCAGACUCCUACGGGAGGCAGCAGUGGGGAAUAUUGCACAAUGGGCGCAAGCCUGAUGCAGCGACGCCGCGUGAGGGAUGACGGCCUUCGGGUUGUAAACCUCUUUCACCAGGGACGAAGCGCAAGUGACGGUACCUGGAGAAGAAGCACCGGCCAACUACGUGCCAGCAGCCGCGGUAAUACGUAGGGUGCGAGCGUUGUCCGGAAUUACUGGGCGUAAAGAGCUCGUAGGUGGUUUGUCGCGUUGUUCGUGAAAACUCACAGCUUAACUGUGGGCGUGCGGGCGAUACGGGCAGACUAGAGUACUGCAGGGGAGACUGGAAUUCCUGGUGUAGCGGUGGAAUGCGCAGAUAUCAGGAGGAACACCGGUGGCGAAGGCGGGUCUCUGGGCAGUAACUGACGCUGAGGAGCGAAAGCGUGGGGAGCGAACAGGAUUAGAUACCCUGGUAGUCCAA